Molecule: long non-coding RNA, 1476 nt
Organism: Lepidothrix coronata (blue-crowned manakin)
Lineage: Eukaryota; Metazoa; Chordata; Aves; Passeriformes; Pipridae
Exons: 3
Source: RefSeq, a predicted model, not a curated record
UUCUAGACAAGCAGGGGAGUAGCUUUUGUUUCUUCCUGAAAGUCGAGGCGUUGGUGACAGUAAUUUGAGUGUGGAAAAGUGUGCAAGAGGGGAAGUGUUCAGUGGAGGAGUCGAUAAGGAAGCAGGUCAUGCUGCUUCAGCAGUGCUGUCGUCGUUCCUUUCACAAAAGGAAGCCUGCACUGGGUGCAGGUUACACUCCUGCACACAUUUGUGCCAGCCAAUAUUCCUAUUGUGGAUCUUCAUCAAAGCUAUGACAAUGUCAGGACAGAAAAACUCGGGGGAGGGCAGGAAGACGGUUGCCAAUUCUCUCCUUUAUCUGCAGAACCGAGAAAUUAUUUCUGAGCUCAGCCAAGUUCCCUGCUGGAGCCCAGCUGCCAGUCUGUACCUGUCAAGUCCUUUGCCAGAACCAAGGCAGUUUUCCCUGUGCCUGAGAUGUGUGAACUCAAAAGGAUGUGCGUCACGCUUUUAAGAACUUAUCUUGGCAGUCACACCUUUUCUCCUGCAUAAGGACCUUUGGGAGUGCAGAACGUUCUCGUAGGCUGCAGGUAAAAUGCCAUCCACUGAACCAGUAACCUAAUUUCCUGCAACAGGCUGGAUGUUUUCUUUGGAAGAGGACCACCUAAUAUUGAUAAGGUUGCCUGGCACUGGCACUACUCACAAGAACUUUUCAGUAAGCACAAGGCGUGUGUCCUUCUCUACAAACAGCAAAUGCAAAUAAAAUAAUAUUAUGGUCAAACAGGUGGAAUGUUUGCAACCUAAACAAGCAUAAGAAUCCCAAGACAAGCUAUGAUGCCUUUCCCAGUAAGUUUAACGUGGAGUUUAGAAGAAUUGAGCACCAGCAUUAAAUACCCUCUCCCCAGAUGGGUGUUAAAUAGUGUUUUCAGGAAGGUAUGAACACUGAAAGAGCAGAUCCAGCUUUGGAAGAAGCCAGGGUGCAAAAAGAUUGUUGGUCAGGAAAAGCCUUCGACACGUGAAUCUUUUACCAGAUGCAUUUGGCAAAGGUUCAGAAUCAUAAUUGGGAAGACAAAGAGGGGGAAGAGAUUCAGCCUGGGGGCUGGUUGAGCGUUCUGAUCGUGGACUGAGCUCUUUGGCUGUUUGAUAAAGCUCUGCAGGUACAAGUUGGCAACUGAGGCUGAACCUGCAAUCUGGUUGCCUCUCCAAAAUGACAGGCUGGGUCCCUGAGCAACACUUAGGGUGAUUUUCUUUGGUUGUUUUCCCAGUGGUCAGCAGCUCCAAAUGGUGCUGGAAAUAGUGUGAGAGAAGCAGCUUGCUGCAGACUGCGCUCAGUUCCGAAAUUCUCUCAGAUGCCUUUCUUGCCAAAUUCUCUUGGAAAGAGAUUGUGUAAUCAAACGGGGUUGCAUGUAAAAACACACUUGUGUACGUCCAGGCGUGCAGGGUAUUGCCAAAGUGGACAGACUGUCCUGCCUGUGCCUGCCAGAAAAGUUGUGUUUUGUCCAGCGGAAAGGAAAACAUCCU